UGUAUUUUAUUUAAUUAUUUAAUGCAAACUGAUGUUAUUAUUUGUCAUCGUGUCUCUCUGUACUUGCUAUGUAUCGUGGAAAACCCCAAAACGUUAUACUCGAUCAGGGCCUUUGCAAUUUCAAUCGGGACCUCAUUUGAAUACGUAUUUAUAGAUUUUGUCGAUGUCAAGGUCAUUUCAAGAUGGUUUCCUUUAUCGUGUUUUAGUUAAGGCUUUGGUGUUACAGACUGCUACAUGUGCUUUGAUAUAGCCAAAGGCGCUUCAAACAAUAUAAAGAUUACUACUUUAUCAAUAAUUUGCUAAAGGACAGCAUAAUUUCAUUUCAAAAGUCGCAUAUAAUUGUAAAAUAUUAAAUACGAAAUUUGUGACGCGUCCCAAGCCGUAAUUGAUUUGGAUUUACAAGCAUUUUUCAUUUUCCAGAAAUGAAAAUAACAUCAUUUUUCGAUGUUUCUUUUUGUGAUUUUUUCAUAUUUAAACAUUCGUGAAGUUUUCAAGAAUCAUAACUUUGCGUUUCCUUCAGCAACUUGAUACUGGUAAACCACUUUUCUAUGAAAUUACUGUUAAAUAAAACUCGCAUGGUACGAAAAGAAGCCCGUAGAAGGUAACGUUUUGCGUUACGAAUUUACGUUUUUAACAAGUUACAAACAUUUUUUUUCUUAAUUCCUACAUCAAUUAUUUAUAGAACAGAUAUAUUAUUUUAUUUUAACAUUGGCAAUGGGUGACAGCGAAUCCGUGAUCAAUAUAUUUCACUAACAAUUUCAAAUAAAAUUGGAAUGAAAAUGGGGAAUGUGCUAAACAGACAACAACCCGACCAAAGAGCUGAGAACAGCUGAAGGCCAUCAAAUGGUCUUCAAUGCAGCGAAAAACUCUCAUACAUGAAGGCUUGCUUCAAUUGACCCCUAAACAAAAGUUACUAUUUCAGUGAUUAAGGACUUCAAGUCAUACUAAACUAAGUAAUUAGAAUUAUAAACAAGAAUCUAUACUGAUAGAAAUUCAUACAAGACUAACAAAGGCCAGACGAUCCUGACUUGGGACCCUAGAGAAUUUAAGCAUUCAUUACAAAUGUAAUUAUAAGGGCCUCAAUGAACAUGGACAAAACUAAUACAUAAAGAUUUUAGACCUGAAUAUAUAUAUAUAAAAAGAAGAUGUGGUAUGAUUGCCAAUGAGACAACUGUCCACAAGAGACCAAAAUGACACAAAAUGUAACCCGACUUGAAAUAAAAUUUCUUAUCUUAUCUUAUCAGACAUUAACAACUACAGGUCACUGCACGGCCUUCAACAAUGAGCAAAGCCCAUAUCCCAUAGUAAGCUAUAAAAGGCCCCAAUAAGACAAUGUAAAACAAUUCAAACGAGAAAACUAACAGCCUUAUUUAUAUAAAAAAUGAACGAAAAACAAAUAUCAUAUGUAACACAUAAACAAACGAUUACCACUAAAUUACAGGCUCCUGACUUGGGACAGGCACAUAUGUAAAUAAUGUGGCAGGGUUAAACAUGUAAGCAGGAUCCUAACCCUCCCCUAACCUGGGACAGUGGUAUAACAGUACAACAUGAGAAUAAAUUAUAAAAAUCAGUUGAAAAAGGUUAACUCAUCAGAUGGACAAAAAUACAAGUGGACGUGACAUGAAGCCUUCAUGCUACAUUGCAUAUAUGUAAAAAUUUUAAAGCAAUAAUGAAUAUUAUACCUAUUUGUAUUUGUUUUUAUUUCAGCUUGAUUCCAGUCUUUGUCGAUGGCUAAUACAAGAAGAGGCAAGGCAUACAUGUACAUGUAUAUGUACAAUACAUGAUUCUCUGUAGCAACUGGAUUGUCUAUUCACCCCUAUAGUUCCACAACAA
Molecule: long non-coding RNA, 1833 nt
Filed under: Mytilus galloprovincialis (Mediterranean mussel)
Lineage: Eukaryota; Metazoa; Mollusca; Bivalvia; Mytilida; Mytilidae
Source: RNAcentral